CCUACGGGAGGCAGCAGUAGGGAAUAUUCGUCAAUGGGCGCAAGCCUGAACGAGCAAUGCCGCGUGAACGAGGAAGGUCUUCGGAUCGUAAAGUUCUGUUGAAGGGGAGAAAGAGCGGAGAGAGGAAAUGAACUCCGAUUGAUAUUACCCUUCGAGGAAGUCACGGCUAACUACGUGCCAGCAGCCGCGGUAAUACGUAGGUGGCGAGCGUUAUCCGGAAUGAUUGGGCGUAAAGGGUGCGUAGGCGGCCUGCUAAGUCUGGAGUGAAAGGUACGGGUUCAACCGGUAUAGGCGCUGGAAACUGGCGGGCUAGAGAGCAGGAGAGGGCGGUGGAACGCCAUGUGUAGCGGUAAAAUGCGUAGAGAUAUGGAAGAACACCAGUGGCGAAGGCGGCCGCCUGGCCUGUGACUGACGCUGAGGCACGAAAGCGUGGGGAGCAAACAGGAUUAGAUACCCGAGUAGUC
RNAcentral lists this ribosomal RNA (464 nucleotides) under uncultured bacterium. Its description in RNAcentral is "partial 16S ribosomal RNA". It matches the Rfam family "Bacterial small subunit ribosomal RNA", at positions 338 to 795 of the family's 1533-position model. The record is from RNAcentral.